GACGAACGCUGGCGGCGUGCUUAACACAUGCAAGUCGAGCGGUAAGGCCCUUUCGGGGGUACACGAGCGGCGAACGGGUGAGUAACACGUGGGUGACCUGCCUCUAGCUCUGGGAUAAGCCCGGGAAACUGGGUCUAAUACUGGAUAUGACUCCAUGACGCAUGUUGUGGGGUGGAAAGCCUUGUGCGGCUAGAGAUGGGCCCGCGGCCUAUCAGCUUGUUGGUGGGGUGAUGGCCUACCAAGGCGACGACGGGUAGCCGGCCUGAGAGGGCGACCGGCCACACUGGGACUGAGACACGGCCCAGACUCCUACGGGAGGCAGCAGUGGGGAAUCUUGCGCAAUGGGCGAAAGCCUGACGCAGCGACGCCGCGUGAGGGA
RNAcentral lists this ribosomal RNA (379 nucleotides) under uncultured bacterium. RNAcentral describes it as "bacterial SSU rRNA". It matches the Rfam family "Bacterial small subunit ribosomal RNA", at positions 28 to 408 of the family's 1533-position model. The record is from RNAcentral.